This is a long non-coding RNA of Saccostrea cuccullata (small rock oyster), 209 nucleotides long. RefSeq lists it as uncharacterized. NCBI's taxonomy places the organism in Eukaryota, Metazoa, Mollusca, Bivalvia, Ostreida, Ostreidae. The record is from RefSeq and is a predicted model, not a curated record. The transcript is spliced from 2 exons.
GUGGUGCCCUAUUCCGGAAAUACGUUUUCCGUUUUUGUCAGGUUCUUUUUGUUCACAUUGUCAUCCGCCAUUUUUUCACGUUUUCAUUUUCAUCGUCAUUUCAUGUCCAUCAAUUCAUGGUCAUUUUUUCGUCUCACCACCAUUUCUUACCAUCAUUGUUCCACCAUCAUGUCAUCAUGCCAUUUCGAAUACAUCAUCAUUAAAUAUCA